Molecule: ribosomal RNA, 1314 nt
Filed under: uncultured organism
Description: partial 16S ribosomal RNA
Rfam family: Bacterial small subunit ribosomal RNA
Source: RNAcentral
GGUGGGAGCGGCAGACGGGUGAGUAAUACGUUGGAACCUGCCCCAAAGUCAGGGAUAACCAGUAGAAAUAUUGGCUAAUACCGGAUAGUCACGAAAGUGUAAAGCUUUUGCGCUUUGGGAGGGGCCUGCGGUCUAUCAGCUUGUUGGUAAGGUAAUGGCUUACCAAGGCUAUGACGGAUAGCUGGUUUGAGAGAAUGAUCAGCCACAAUGGAACUGAGACACGGUCCAUACUCCUACGGGAGGCAGCAGUGAGGAAUCUUCCGCAAUGGGCGAAAGCCUGACGGAGCAACACCGCGUGAAGGAUGAAGGUCGUAAGAUUGUAAACUUCUUUUCUGAGGGAAGAAUUCUGACGGUACCUCAGGAAUAAGCAUCGGCUAACUACGUGCCAGCAGCCGCGGUAAGACGUAGGAUGCAAGCGUUAUCCGGAAUUAUUGGGCAUAAAGAGUUCGUAGGCGGUUUGUUAAGUUGGAUGUUAAAUUUUUGAGCUCAACUUAAAAAAAGUAUCCAAAACUGGCAAACUGGAGACUGGUAGAGGUAAGUGGAAUUCUGCAUGUAGGGGUAAUAUCCGUAGAUAUGCAGAGAAACACCAAAAGCGAAGGCAGCUUACUGGACCAGUUCUGACGCUCAAGAACGAAAGCGUGGGUAGCGAACGGGAUUAGAUACCCCGGUAGUCCACGCCCUAAACGAUGAACACUAGGUAUUGGAGGUCUCGACCCCUUCAGUGCCGACGCAAAUGCAAUAAGUGUUCCGCCUGGGUAGUACGAGCGCAAGCUUAAAACUCAAAGGAAUAGACGGGGACCCACACAAGCGGUGGAGCAUCUGGUUUAAUUCGACAAUAAGCGAGGAACCUUACCAAGGCUUGACAUCCCGAGAAGAUCGCCGAAAGGUGAUUGUGCCGUUAGGAACUCGGUGACAGGUGCUGCAUGGUUGUCGUCAGCUCGUGCCUAGAGGUGUUGGGUUAAGUCCCGCAACGAGCGCAACCCCUAUUUCCAGUUGCCAGCAAUAAGAUGGGGACUCUGGAAAGACUGCCGGCGCAAGCCGCGAGGAAGGUGGGGACGACGUCAAGUCAUCAUGGCCUUUAUGCCUAGGGCUACACACGUGCUACAAUGGCGCAUACAGAGGGUAGCGAAGCCGCGAGGCGGAGCCAAUCUCAGAAAGUGCGCCCCAGUUCGGAUUGGGGUCUGGAACUCGACCCCAUGAAGGUGGAAUCGCUAGUAAUCGCGCAUCAGCCACGGCGCGGCGAAUACGUUCCCGGACCUUGUACACACCGCCCGUCAAGCCAUGGAAGCCGGGGGUGCCUGAAGACGGUGACCU